This 776-nucleotide ribosomal RNA is filed under the name uncultured Neocallimastigales. RNAcentral describes it as "partial large subunit ribosomal RNA". It matches the Rfam family "Eukaryotic large subunit ribosomal RNA", at positions 19 to 634 of the family's 3401-position model. Lineage: Eukaryota; Fungi; Neocallimastigomycota; Neocallimastigomycetes; Neocallimastigales. The record is from RNAcentral.
CGAGCACGCGCGUGUGGCAUAUCAAUAAGCGGAGGAAAAGAAACUAACAAGGAUUCCCUUAGUAACGGCGAGUGAAGCGGGAAGAGCUCAAAUUUGAAAUCUUCAAGGUUCUACCUUGACGAAUUGUAGUUUAUAGAAGUGUUUUCUGUUAGUAGAGUGGCAAAAGUUCUUUGGAAUAGGACAUCAUAGAGGGUGAGAAUCCCGUAUUUGGUCAUUCCUUCCUAGCGUUGUGAUACACAUUUCAACGAGUCGGAUUGUUUGGGAAUGCAGUCCAAAAUGGGUGGUAAAUUUCAUCUAAAGCUAAAUAUUGGCGAGAGACCGAUAGCGAACAAGUACCGUGAGGGAAAGAUGAAAAGAACUUUGAAAAGAGAGUUAAACAGUACGUGAAAUUGUCAAAAGGGAAGCGUUUGACACCAGUAUUGUUUUUCCGAAAAUCAAUUACGAAUGUUUUGUUUUUGAGGAGUUAUGACUUCAUCGGCUUGCUCCUUUCUUUACGAAACUUUCUUAAUGCACUUUUCGGUUAACAAGUCAACAUCAAUUUCUUUUGUUGUAAAAGGGUAUGAGGAAGGUGGCUUUCUUUUCGGAGAAAGUGUUUAUAGCCUUGUGCCUCUACAAUCGGAGAGAUUGAGGUCUGCAGCGUAGAUCCUUCGGGGUUAGAUACGUUUGUGCUAAGUUAUAGCUUUUCAUAGACAACUUGUUGACUAUGUUUAGUCUUGUAGCUUACUCGCUGACGCUAUUUUACCUACGCUUAGGAUGUUGAACUCUAUCACACACAG